RNAcentral lists this long non-coding RNA (645 nucleotides) under Homo sapiens (human). Its description in RNAcentral is "non-protein coding lnc-PSMA7-6:1". Lineage: Eukaryota; Metazoa; Chordata; Mammalia; Primates; Hominidae. The record is from RNAcentral.
GUGCCUUUCCUGAAGAGGAGCUUACCCGCCUUGAGACAGCUGACCCCCGACUCCGCGGCCUUCAUCCAGCAGAGCCAGCAGCAGCCGCCACCGCCCACCUCGCAGGCCACCACUGCGCUCACGGCCGUGGUGCUGAGUAGCUCGGUCCAGCGCACGGCCGGGAAGACGGCGGCCACCGUGACCAGUGCCCUCCAGCCCCCUGUGCUCAGCCUCACGCAGCCCACGCAGGUCAUCCAGCAGCCUCCGAAGCCAGGAGCCCUGAUCCGGCCCCCGCAGGUGACGUUGACGCAGACACCCAUGGUCGCCCUGCGGCAGCCUCACAACCGGAUCAUGCUCACCACGCCUCAGCAGAUCCAGCUGAACCCACUGCAGCCAGUCCCUGUGGUGAAACCCGCCGUGUUACCUGGAACCAAAGCCCUUUCUGCUGUCUCGGCACAAGCAGCUGCUGCACAGAAAAAUAAACUCAAGGAGCCUGGGGGAGGUUCGUUUCGGGACGAUGAUGACAUUAAUGAUGUUGCAUCGAUGGCUGGAGUAAACUUGUCAGAAGAAAGUGCAAGAAUAUUAGCCACGAACUCUGAAUUGGUGGGCACGCUAACGCGGUCCUGUAAAGAUGAAACCUUCCUCCUCCAAGCGCCUUUGCAGAGA